Molecule: ribosomal RNA, 392 nt
Filed under: uncultured bacterium
Lineage: Bacteria
Description: bacterial SSU rRNA
Rfam family: Bacterial small subunit ribosomal RNA
Source: RNAcentral
GACGAACGCUGGCGGCGUGCUUAACACAUGCAAGUCGAGCGGUAAGGCCCUUUCGGGGGUACACGAGCGGCGAACGGGUGAGUAACACGUGGGUGACCUGCCUCUAGCUCUGGGAUAAGCCUGGGAAGCUGGGUCUAAUACCGGAUAUGACCUCGCGGUGCAUGUUGCGGGGUGGAAAGCCUUGUGCGGCUAGGGAUGGGCCCGCGGCCUAUCAGCUUGUUGGUGGGGUGANGGCCUACCAAGGCGACGACGGGUAGCCGGCCUGAGAGGGCGACCGGCCACACUGGGACUGAGACACGGCCCAGACUCCUACGGGAGGCAGCAGUGGGGAAUCUUGCGCAAUGGGGCGAAAGCCUGACGCAGCGACGCCGCGUGAGGGAUGACGGCCUGGU